AGCGAACGCUGGCGGCAGGCCUAACACAUGCAAGUCGAACGAACCUUUCGGGGUUAGUGGCGGACGGGUGAGUAACACGUGGGAACGUGCCUUUAGGUUCGGAAUAACUCAGGGAAACUUGUGCUAAUACCGCAUGUGCCCUUCGGGGGAAAGAUUAAUCGCCUUUAGAGCGGCCCGCGUCUGAUUAGCUAGUUGGUUGAGGUAAUGGCUCACCAAGGCGACGAUCAGUAGCUGGUCUGAGAGGAUGAUCAGCCACAUUUGGACUGAGACACGGCCCAAACUCCUACGGGAGGCAGCAGUGGGGAAUCUUGCGCAAUGGGCGAAAGCCUGACGCAGCCAUGCCGCGUGAAUGAUGAAGGUCUUAGGAUUGUAAAAUUCUUUCACCGGGGACGAUAAUGACGGUACCCGGAGAAGAAGCCCCGGCUAACUUCGUG
This 434-nucleotide ribosomal RNA is filed under the name uncultured bacterium. RNAcentral's name for it is "partial 16S ribosomal RNA". It matches the Rfam family "Bacterial small subunit ribosomal RNA", at positions 29 to 507 of the family's 1533-position model. The record is from RNAcentral.